GAGAUGUUAACUUAAUUGAAAGUGUUAGAUUUUUAAUCUAAAAAUGUUUUUUACACAUCUUA
RNAcentral lists this transfer RNA (62 nucleotides) under Heligmosomoides polygyrus. RNAcentral's name for it is "tRNA-Lys". It matches the Rfam family "tRNA". From Rfam's summary of the family: Transfer RNA (tRNA) molecules are approximately 80 nucleotides in length. The record is from RNAcentral. Lineage: Eukaryota; Metazoa; Nematoda; Chromadorea; Rhabditida; Heligmosomidae.